This 447-nucleotide ribosomal RNA is filed under the name uncultured bacterium. RNAcentral's name for it is "bacterial SSU rRNA". It matches the Rfam family "Bacterial small subunit ribosomal RNA", at positions 329 to 793 of the family's 1533-position model. The record is from RNAcentral.
UCCCAGACUCCUACGGGAGGCAGCAGUGGGGAAUAUUGCACAAUGGGGGAAACCCUGAUGCAGCAACGCCGCGUGAGUGAAGAAGUCAUUCGUGAUGUAAAGCUCUAUCAGCAGGGAAGAAAAUGACGGUACCUGAGUAAGAAGCCCCGGCUAACUACGUGCCAGCAGCCGCGGUAAUACGUAGGUGGCAAGCGUUAUCCGGAUUUACUGGGUGUAAAGGGCGUGUAGGCGGGGAAGCAAGUCAGAUGUGAAAACCACGGGCUCAACCUGUGGCCUGCAUUUGAAACUGUUUUUCUUGAGUGCUGGAGAGGCAAUCGGAAUUCCGUGUGUAGCGGUGAAAUGCGUAGAUAUACGGAGGAACACCAGUGGCGAAGGCGGAUUGCUGGACAGUAACUGACGCUGAGGCGCGAAAGCGUGGGGAGCAAACAGGAUUAGAUACCCGGGUAA